UACGUAGGGGCUAGCGUUAUCCGGAAUUACUGGGCGUAAAGGGUGCGCAGGUGGUUUCUUAAGUCAGAGGUGAAAGGCUACGGCUCAACCGUAGUAAGCCUUUGAAACUGGGAAACUUGAGUGCAGGAGAGGAGAGUGGAAUUCCUAGUGUAGCGGUGAAAUGCGUAGAUAUUAGGAGGAACACCAGUUGCGAAGGCGGCUCUCUGGACUGUAACUGACACUGAGGCACGAAAGCGUGGGGAGCAACCAGGAUUAGAUACCCGCGUAGUCCCUGA
Molecule: ribosomal RNA, 275 nt
Filed under: uncultured prokaryote
Description: partial 16S ribosomal RNA
Rfam family: Bacterial small subunit ribosomal RNA
Source: RNAcentral